GGGCUAAUACCGAAUGAUAAAGUGUGGCGCAUGCCAUGCUUUUGAAAGAUGGUUUCGGCUAUCGCUUACAGAUGGGCCCGCGGUGCAUUAGCUAGUUGGUAGGGUAAUGGCCUACCAAGGCAACGAUGCAUAGCCGACCUGAGAGGGUGAUCGGCCACACUGGGACUGAGACACGGCCCAGACUCCUACGGGAGGCAGCAGUAGGGAAUCUUCCGCAAUGGACGAAAGUCUGACGGAGCAACGCCGCGUGUAUGAAGAAGGUUUUCGGAUCGUAAAGUACUGUUGUUAGAGAAGAACAAGGAUAAGAGUAACUGCUUGUCCCUUGACGGUAUCUAACCAGAAAGCCACGGCUAACUACGUGCCAGCAGCCGCGGUAAUACGUAGGUGGCAAGCGUUGUCCGGAUUUAUUGGGCGUAAAGCGCGCGCAGGCGGUCUUUUAAGUCUGAUGUGAAAGCCCCCGGCUUAACCGGGGAGGGUCAUUGGAAACUGGAAGACUGGAGUGCAGAAGAGGAGAGUGGAAUUCCACGUGUAGCGGUGAAAUGCGUAGAUAUGUGGAGGAACACCAGUGGCGAAGGCGACUCUCUGGUCUGUAACUGACGCUGAGGCGCGAAAGCGUGGGGAGCAAACAGGAUUAGAUACCC
Molecule: ribosomal RNA, 641 nt
Filed under: Listeria monocytogenes
Lineage: Bacteria; Bacillati; Bacillota; Bacilli; Caryophanales; Listeriaceae
Description: bacterial SSU rRNA
Rfam family: Bacterial small subunit ribosomal RNA
Source: RNAcentral